UGCGUCUCGUAUUUAACAUAAGCCAUCGAUAUUCACCCAACAUAACAAUGAAUUCGAUGACUAAAAUAAAUGUAAAAAUAUUUCUAAAAACUAUAAAAAAAAUGCUAAUUUAAUUGAAAUAAUACAAUAUUUAAAUAAAUGGACUAAAUUUUUAAAAAAAUUGAGAAAUUACCAAAAGCCCCCCUUUUCCUUUUUUCUUUUUGGCCUAAUAGGAGUUGGGCUGCCAAAUUUGGGCCUGGGUGCUGGGCUGCCGCUGGAACGGGCCUGGGCUGGGCUGCCGCUGGAACGGGCCUGGGCUGGCCUGCUGCAGAUUUUUUCUUCUCUUUUUUGAUAAACUUGUUGGGUUUGGGCUACUAAAAUUAUUGGGCUGCUACUUUUGUUCUUUUUUAUUGUUUUUUUUUUCUUUUUCUUUCUUUUUCUCUCUUUUUUCUUUCUCCUUUCUUCUUCUUCUUCCCUUUACUUUUUCUUUCCGUUGAGCCCAGCCUCCGCUUCUCCUCCAUUGUCCACUGCCACCGUCGACUCCUCCGUUCGGUGGUGCUAGUCUCGGCGUUCUCUCCUCUUCUUUUCUCCUCCCUUUUUCUCUUCUUUCUCUUAUCUUCUCCCUUUGGCUUUCUCUCUUUUCUUCUCUUCUCCCCUUUCUUUUUCUUUCUCUUUCGAAAGCCCGGAAAUUAGAAGCGACGCCGCCCCUCCAAUCCGCCGUUCGUUACUCGAUCCUCCUCCGCCUUAAGUGGCCGUGGUAAAGGGUAGGGAUCUCUUGCUAUAUUUGUUUUUUUUUUUGCCCUUUUUUACUCUUUUCUUUGCUUUUGGUUGCUUGUGGAUUGUUGAGUUUGGUUUGUUUCUUUGUGAUGAUGAAUGAGGAAUGUGGAUGGGGACAUGGGGAGAAUCGGCUGAAUCUUAGAAAUUUCAAAGCUUUUUUCUCUGUUUUUUUUUUGCUUGACUGCCCCCCAUUUCUUCUCUUCCAUUUUUUCUUUUUAAAAGCUCCAAAUUUUGUCCUCUUUCUCAUUGUUUGCAGGUGGCAGAGGAGCCAUGAUGGCCUAGGGGGGCUGCUGGAGUAGCUCGGCUGGGAGGGGUACGCUCGGCUGCUGCAGCGGCGAUUAGACAAGUCCGGAAGGACUAAAUUGCAUAGGAUGCAAAGCUUCUGGGGCAAAAGUGUAAUUUUAGGAAAAUAUAGGGCUAAAGGGUAAUUUCUAGAAACUUUAGGGGUUAAAGUGAAAUUUUGAGAAAGUUUAAGGGUUGAAAUGUAAUUUUAGAAAAGUUUAGGGUUAAAAUGUAAAUUUUGAAAAGUAUAGGGGUCAAAAUGCAAUUUUUUUAAUUUUUUUUAACACGAAAUUAUUCCCGGACAAAAUUCAGUGAUUACAGAACAUUUCAUUUAUUAAUUUUUAGAAAAAAAUCUUUAUCUCAAGAAAUCAACAUGUCACAUCCAAGGCAUUAGGACACAG
Molecule: long non-coding RNA, 1439 nt
Filed under: Gossypium raimondii (Peruvian cotton)
Lineage: Eukaryota; Viridiplantae; Streptophyta; Magnoliopsida; Malvales; Malvaceae
Description: long non-coding RNA (GRAI_LNC007857)
Source: RNAcentral